UUAGAGUCCAAGUUAUCUAGGGUUUAGUGGAGGCUGUCCUCCUUUAUAAACACAUGUACCCCUUCGAUAUUAAGCAGACAAUAAACAGUAUAUUCUGUUGUCGUCUUCCUCAGGAGACGAGAGCCCCAAACCCUAGCCGCCUCUCUCUCUCUCUCUCACGCCGCGACGGCGCCUAACUGCCGGCGCCGGCGUCCCCAACCUCGCAGCCCGCACUUCCACACCUACAACCUACGUCCGAGACCUGGUAGAACCCUAGCCUCUACCACAUACACAAGUUUGACUUCAUUAAAAUCGAGACACCUUAUAUUCUGGAACAGAGGGAGUAUUUCCUCUGCAUCAAACAACAUACUAUUAAUCUCAAAGCUUACACAGUUUUGAUAGUUAAUCUAGAAUGGACCGGAGAGGAAGAGAAAGCAUAGUAGUAACGACAUGAUAAUACUACUAGACACAAAAAGGUAAACUUACCUGUAGCCUGAAUGGCUUGACUCCAAGGAUAACAAGACGCUCAAAGAGAGACUGUGCUAAUCCUGCUCGUGCUGCCUUUUUGCACAUGAUAACUGGACCCAAUUGGCAAUGAUCUCCAACAAGAACAACCUGAAUAGCUCGAAAGCAUAAAUAAAUAAAAUCAGGUUAACCUAAAUGAGGUCAUUGAUUAUAUCUUCACCUGCUUAACACCAAGAACCAAUGGAAUAAGACAUUCUGGCUCUGUCGCCUGUGUAGACUCAUCGAUAAGAACCUGUCGAUAACAAUUUCCAUUGCUUCAGGACACAAUAUAGAACACAUAUGAGCACUACUAACUUAAAAACUAAAGGGUAGAAAUCAUUACCUGGCGAAAGCGGAAGUUUGACAAACGAGGGUCUCCAGCGCCAACACAGGUGCAACAAAUCACAUCAGCANCCCCGCUACCGACGUGGAUGGACACGCCGACCUACACGACGGCGCCACUACAGCCGACGGUGUUGCAGCCACCCGCCCCCACCUUCGGGGGGUUCGGCAGGUACACUGAUCCGUACGCCGGGAGCUCCGUGGUGCCGCAACAAUCUUCUUCCGCCGCGCUGGGCCGUCACGAGGGCACCUACGCGGCCUCGCCACACGUGCAGCAGCCACCCCGCUUCACCAAGCUGGAGUUCGCCACCUACGACGGCACCGUCGACCCCCUGAACUGGCUCAAUCAGUGCGACCAGUUUUUCAGGGGGCAGCGGACCAUGGCGUCCGACCGCCUGGUCAUACGUGCGCCCGCCUGUUCUACUUAGAGACCGUCGACGACGCGGAGGUGGAGGCCCUCACCGCGGCGCUCGACGCCACCACUCUCCGAGGCCGGCGUCACAACCUACGGGCCGGUCGACGCGACCGCCUUCGUCGUCUCCCUUCAUGCCAUGGCUGGCAUCAAGACGGCAAAGACGAUGCUGCUUCCGGUGACGAUCAACGGGGAGCGUCUAACCGCGCUCGUGGACACGGGUUCGACGCACAACUUCCUGUCCGGGGACGCCAUGCGCCGCCUCGCACUCCAACCGGCGGGCUCGGAGAAGUUCAGCGUCACCGUCGCCAACGGGGACCGCCUUGCUUGCCAGGGGGUGGCGCGGCAGGUUCCCGUCCUCAUCGGCGACGAGCCGUUCUCGAUCGACUGCGUCGGCAUCGACCUGGGCUGCUACGACUUCAUCCUCGGCAUCGACUUCCUGUCCACUCUCGGCCCCAUACUUUAGGACCUCGAUGUGUUGUCCCUCAUCUCCUGGCGCGAGGGCGGCCGUCGUGUUCAGUGGACAGGCAUCGGCGGCUCCGGCGCCGUGACUCCACAGCUCCAGUUGAUGGCGUCCGCACUGGACGAGGCGCAUCCCCUCCUGGCCGACCUCUUGCAGCAGCACAACGACAUCUUCGACGAGCCACAGGGCCUCCCUCCCGUGCGGCCCUGUGACCACCGCAUCCACCUGCUGCCGGACACGGCACCUGUAGCCAUGCGUCCGUACCGGUACCCUCAGCUGCAGAAAGACGAGCUCGAGCGUCAGGUGGCGGUCAUGCUCGCGCAAGGCAUCAUCCGGAUUUCGACAUCGCCGUUCUCCGCCCCGGUGCUCCUUGUGCGCAAGUCCGACGGCACAUGGCGCUUCUGCAUCGACUACCACGCCCUCAACGCCCUGAUGUCCAAGGACAAGUUCCCCAUCCCCGUCGUGGAUGAGCUCUUGGACGAGCUACACGGAGCGCGCUUCUUCACCAAGCUCGACCUUCGCUCGAGCUACGAUCAGGUGCGCAUGCACCCUGACGACAUCGAGAAGACGGCGUUCCGCACUCACCAUGGCCACUUCGAGUUCCUGGUGAUGCCGUUCGGCCUCUCCAACGCGUCGGCGACCUUCCAGGCCCUGAUGAACGACGUGCUCAGCCCAUACUUGCGCCGCUUUGCGCUUGUUUUCUUUGAUGACAUUCUCAUCUACAGUGCAUCUUGGGCGGAGCAUCUACAACAUGUGGCCAUCAUCUUCAACGAGCUUCGAGCGCAUCGUCUUCACCUCAAGCGCUCGAAGUGCUCGUUCGGCACGACCUCCAUCGCGUACCUGGGGCACGUCAUCUCGACGGACGGGUAGCGAUGGACGCGGACAAGGUCGCCGCCGUCGCCGCAUGGCCGAUCCCGCGGUCACCGCGUGCGCUCCGCGGCUUCUUGGGCCUCGCCGGCUACUACCGGAAGUACAUCCGGGACUUCGGCCUCACCGCCGCGCCACUGACGCGUCUCCUUCGACGCGACGCCUUCUCCUGGGACGAGGAGGCGACUACGGCAUUCGAGGCUCUCCAGCAGGCGCUCACGACGGGACCCGUCCUCCAGAUGCCGGACUUUGAUAUGCCGUUCAUCAUGGACUGCGACGCCUCUGGCAUCGGCUUCGGCGCCGUCCUUCACCAGGGCGAGGGACCGCUCGCCUUCUUCAGCCGCCCCUUCGUCGCUCGCCAUCACAAGCUCGCGGCCUACGAGCGCGAGCUUAUUGGGCUGGUUCAGGCGGUGCGCCACUGGCAGCCUUAUCUUUGGGGCCGGUCAUUCCGUGUGCGCACAGACCACUACAGCCUCAAGUUCUUGCUGGACCAGCGCCUCUCCACAGUUUCGCAACACCAGUGGAUCAGCAAGCUCUUUGGCUUCGACUUCACUGUUGAGUACCGCCCCGGCCGUCUCAACACGGUCGCCGACGCCUUGUCCCGCCGCGACACUGCAGAUGUCGCGGACGACGUCGCCAUGGCUGGCACUAUCAUGUGCAUUCGCUCCGGGCCAUCUUUCGCCUUCAUCAACAAAAUUCGCCGGGCAACUUCGACGGCCGUGGACGCCCAGGGCCUACGCCGGCGAGCUGGACGCGCCCUGGCGCUUGGACGAGGGGCUACUCCUACAUGGCCGCCGCAUCUUUGUGCCCGACCAUGGCGACCUACGACACCAGGUCCUGACUUUGGCGCACUCUGCAGGGCACGAGGGCGUGCAGAAGACUCUCCAUCGUCUCCGUGCUGAUUUUUACAUCCCCGGUGAUGGCGCGAUGGUCCGCGACUGGGUGCGGUCGUGCGUGACGUGCCAGCGGAGGAGGAAGCGACUUGGGAGAAGCUCGACGAUGAGGUAUGCGAGUGUACAGUGGACCGGCCUGCCAGAGGAGGAAGCGACUUGGGAGAAGCUCGACGAUUUCCGCCAGCAGUUUCCAGAUGUUCAGCUCGAGGACGAGCUGUUUGAGAAGGCGGGGAGAGAUGUUAUGACCGGUACAACGUACCAACGGAGGAGGCCCAAUGGGCAGGGUUAAUUACGGGCUUAGCCCAAGUUAUCUUACCUAUCUUAGAAGUCCAAGUUAUAUUAGAGUCCAAGUUAGAGUCCAAGUUAUCUAGGGUUUAGUGGAGGUUGUCCUCCUUUAUAAACACAUGUACCCCUUCGAUAUUAAUCAGACAAUAAACAGUAUAUUCUGUUGUCGUCUCCCUCAGGAGACGAGAGCCCCAAACCCUAGCCGCCUCUCUCUCUCUCUCACGCCGCGACGGCGCCUAACCGCCGGCGCCGGCGUCCCCAACCUCGCAGCCCGCACUUCCACCCCUACAACCUACGUCCGAGACCUGGUAGAACCCUAGCCUCUACCACAUACACAAGUUUGACUUCAUUAAAAUCGAGACACCUUAUAUUCUGGAACAGAGGGAGUAUUUCCUCUGCAUCAAACAACAUACUAUUAAUCUCAAAGCUUACACAGUUUUGAUAGUUAAUCUAGAAUGGA
Molecule: long non-coding RNA, 4205 nt
Filed under: Hordeum vulgare
Lineage: Eukaryota; Viridiplantae; Streptophyta; Magnoliopsida; Poales; Poaceae
Description: long non-coding RNA (HVUL_LNC004111)
Source: RNAcentral